Molecule: transfer RNA, 86 nt
Filed under: Asterophora parasitica
Lineage: Eukaryota; Fungi; Basidiomycota; Agaricomycetes; Agaricales; Lyophyllaceae
Description: tRNA-Asp
Rfam family: tRNA
About the family: Transfer RNA (tRNA) molecules are approximately 80 nucleotides in length. Their secondary structure includes four short double-helical elements and three loops (D, anti-codon, and T loops).
Source: RNAcentral
UCUUUGCUAGUAUAUCGGUUAGUACACGCGCCUGUCAUCUCGAAGGUUCUCCGCGCGAAAGCUGGGUUCGACUCCCAGGCAGAGAG